RNAcentral lists this non-coding RNA (197 nucleotides) under Bacteroides sp. An322. Lineage: Bacteria; Pseudomonadati; Bacteroidota; Bacteroidia; Bacteroidales; Bacteroidaceae. The record is from RNAcentral.
UAUCUUUGCCCCCGCAACGGUUCGGGCGAAUGAAGCCCGAUUAAAAGGGAAUCAGGUGAGAGUCCUGAACAGUCCCGCUGCUGUAAGUUCCGUACGAGAAGUGUCGCAAGCCAUUCUUUUGCCACUGGAUGUAUUCCGGGAAGGCGGCUUGCCGACAGGAACAAGUCAGAAGACCUGCCGUGUGCCUGAGUGUCUUC